AUCUCUUCUGGUUUUGAGCUAUGCACGAAGAGAAAAACGUCGCGAACGUACGAUCGUACGAACGUACAAACAUCUUUCUAAAAAUUUUUUAUUUCGACUCUAGGGACCUUGAAACGUCGAGAAAUGUCAAAAUGAUGAAUUUAACAAAUUGGACACAUUACAAUAACUUCCUAUGGGAAGUUAAAAUUAGAAAACACAGAAACCAAAUCAUCUAAACAUUCACUUGCCCCUACUUGCCCACACAAUAUUUUCAUAUAUCAAUACACAAGCAACUUCUUCUAUUCUCCUUUCCGGACACCUAACAAAUCUAACAUUCACAAAAAAAAAAAAAAAAAACAAAAAAAAGAUCCAACAUUAUCACCCCUUUCUUCUUUUACGCCCAAAACGGGCAUAAAAAAAGAUAAAUUUGUUUGCAACGGAUCAAACUUUGUUUUUUUAUUAAUUGGCAAACAAAAUGACAAAUGAGAAAAGUUUUUAGAAAGAAAAAAAAAAUAUGCAAGGCAAAAAGAGCUUUCUCAGCUUUAUUUUUAAAAGCUCUUGUCUGUUAAGGCUUGUCUGUUAAGAGAAAAAAAUGUUUCAUUUUUUCCUGCAGGGAUGAGACAUAUGCAUACAAUUAUUAUCUGUGCUCAAAGCUUAUUUGAGAAAAUCUCUUUUUUUUCUUGUACAAUAAUCCAUGAUAGUGUUUUUUUUUGUUAUAAUGUGCGCGAACUCAAGGAGAUAUGAAUACCCUUAUAAUAAUUAAACACAAUGCGAGCAAUUAGGAAAGUAAGAUAUGAUUAGAAAGGAGAUAUCGAUGCACAUUGGUUUUGAAUGUCUGUCCGUUGUAAUGAGUUUGAAAUAUUGAGUCUAGUAAAGCAUUCCACAUUCGUGUAGUGCGACUAAAGAAAGAAUGGGUGUAUUCAUAAACGUCAGCCCAACUAAGAACUGCGUUAUCUGCAUUCAUAAAGUCAGAUUAUCGAUCGAACUAACCUAGUCGAACUGCAGUACCUACAGUUCAUAAACGUCAGACUGUUGUCAGCGUCGGGCAGAUUGUGCAGCUGAAUUUGUUUGGCUGCAGAAAGAGCGGGAAUUAUUAAAAUAAUGUUUACAACAACAAGCAGGACGAAGCGGCACUGACUCGUAAAGAAUGUAUGUAAUGGCAAAUACCUAUUUGGUUUAUUUUUUGAUAAAAAUAAUUUAAAUUAUUGUUUUAAAGGGGAUGAUGAAAGUACUGUAGGUAAUGUGUGGACAACUAACCACAUUAAACUUUUAAUUACAAAGCGAAUAAGCAUGGAAAUGGAAUUCAAUGCUGGAAAGAAGAAAAAAAUUACAUUGUGGAGGACGCCAUUUUUCUCUGACGUUUAUGAACUCUGUUUACACACAAAUAGAGAGUAUAUCUAAUAAUUAUUAGAUAUACUCUGCACAAAUCGGACUAAGUCAAAAAAAUUUGUUUACUGCAGACAUCAUAGAGGAAAUCUAUUAUCUAGAGUCCCGACCGGUACCCGUCCUACCUGAAACACCCUCAAAUUUUAUUCGAGGUGGACUCUUUCAAAUUCGCUAUCGGUGAAUACAUGUGAGUGGGAAAAAAAGCAAAAUAGGGGAUUGGGCUAAAAAGAAACUUAUGGAAUUUUUGUGAUCUGUCAAAAAUGACAAUCAAUUUUGCAAAACAAAACAAUGGGUUUCGGAUGUUUAAAGUAAGUUUUUGUUAAUUAUUUUGAUAUUUAAUAUAAUUUGUUAUUUUUCAGACUAAAAACCUUUAUAGUGAAAAGGGUAUAUAUAAGUUCACUUCAUCGAAUAAAAAUCUGUGUUUUCAUUUUAGAUACUGCCAAUAACAUACCAUAAUGCAGGAAGCAAUUUCCCUGAAGAAAUCAGGAAGACAAUGCAAACAAGGCGCAGAUUUUUGCAGGCAAGUUUUUAACGACAGAUACUGCCCAUUGUGAUUGUAUGUACAUUUCAACGGCAUAGCUAACAGUGCCAACUCAACCUAUUCAUCAGCUGCCAAGAAAUAUAAUGCAAGCCGCUCAAAUUAUUGACGCAACAGGGCGCGGAGAUCAGUUUUAUAUAAAUCCAAGCUUGUAGCAACAAAUGUCUCAAUAUCUUGUUGCCAUUGAAGGACGACAAGGAUACGAAGCUGGCUGAUACAGAUGACGUAGCUGAACAGAAUUUCGAUUUUGAAGCAACCUGCUGAAAUAAUAAAGCACUUUCUAAAUCACGGCAGUCGGAAAUCAUUGAAUUCCCUGCAGUUCUGGUAAACUUAAGGACUGGCAAUAUAGAAGAAUUCCCUGAAUUCGUUAUGCAUAUUGCAAAUGACUUAAUAAGCCACUUAGUUGUUUUGAAUUUUUGGCAAAUAACAAAAAUUUGAACUUGAUGUUUUAACCUAAGACUGCAAAUUCUUAAUAAAAAGUACGAAACAAAUUUAAACGGAAUACUGAAGAAAGAUAUUGUAGGUUUGGAAAAACAUGACACAUUUUUUUUGUUGAAAAAGGCUAUUUCAUGAAUUUAGAUAUCCUCGCAAAAGCCUUAAUGUAUUAUAAGGUUGGGUGCCGAAUAGAAUUUAAAAACAUAUUUUUAUCAAUUUCACUUUAUUUUAAAAACAAAUAAUCAUGAUUAACAAAUCAAAAAGUCUACAUGUUUAAUGGUUUAAAUAAUUCCUUAUCACAUAAAAA
This is a long non-coding RNA of Eupeodes corollae, 2645 nucleotides long. RefSeq lists it as uncharacterized. The record is from RefSeq and is a predicted model, not a curated record. The transcript is spliced from 4 exons. NCBI's taxonomy places the organism in Eukaryota, Metazoa, Arthropoda, Insecta, Diptera, Syrphidae.